UACGUAGGGGGCUAGCGUUGUCCGGAAUUAUUGGGCGUAAAGAGCUCGUAGGUGGUUCGGCAAGUCGGAUGUGAAAUCUCCACGCUUAACGUGGAGGGGCCAUUCGAAACUGCUGUGACUUGAGUCCGGUAGGGGAGUGUGGAAUUCCCGGUGUAGCGGUGAAAUGCGCAGAUAUCGGGAGGAACACCGGUAGCGAAGGCGGCACUCUGGGCCGGUACUGACACUGAGGAGCGAAAGCGUGGGGAGCGAACAGG
RNAcentral lists this ribosomal RNA (254 nucleotides) under uncultured bacterium. RNAcentral's name for it is "partial 16S ribosomal RNA". It matches the Rfam family "Bacterial small subunit ribosomal RNA", at positions 524 to 776 of the family's 1533-position model. The record is from RNAcentral.